This 21-nucleotide non-coding RNA is filed under the name Arabidopsis thaliana (thale cress). The record is from RNAcentral. Lineage: Eukaryota; Viridiplantae; Streptophyta; Magnoliopsida; Brassicales; Brassicaceae.
UGUACUUUAAGGUUUUUGCAC